GGAUCAACCAGGUAGCAUUCCUCACCGACGUUGAUCGGCGUGCUGCAAUCCAUAAGGAAUCCACCACAACCGAUACAAACGUCGUUCGCGUGUAGCGUUGAACACUUUGUUCCGAGGGGCAAAUAGAGAUCGAAGCCUCGUGCCCACAACAUGUUCCGCAUCCGAGAUUUCGAGCAUUACGCCCUGGGUGGGCUACACAAGCGUAUGCGCACACACACACACGAGAGUGCCAACCACGACGAAUGCUAGGAGUUCCAAUCAGCACCACGACACCGAUAGGCGAAGCAGAGCAGAAUGAAAAAGGGAUAAUUUAUCUAUCGUAAUGCCUCAGAGAUAGGUAUCGAGCACAGGAUGCCACAAUCGGACGGGCUUGGGAGCCCUUGUGCCGAUGAUUGAAAAGGCACGGUUGGGAUGUC
RNAcentral lists this unclassified non-coding RNA (416 nucleotides) under Prostanthera densa. RNAcentral's name for it is "partial external transcribed spacer". The record is from RNAcentral. Lineage: Eukaryota; Viridiplantae; Streptophyta; Magnoliopsida; Lamiales; Lamiaceae.